GUCGAGCGAUGAUUAAAGAUAGCUUGCUAUUUUUAUGAAGAGCGGCGAACGGGUGAGUAACGCGUGGGAAAUCUGCCGAGUAGCGGGGGACAACGUUUGGAAACGAACGCUAAUACCGCAUAACAAUGAGAAUCGCAUGAUUCUUAUUUAAAAGAAGCAAUUGCUUCACUACUUGAUGAUCCCGCGUUGUAUUAGCUAGUUGGUAGUGUAAAGGACUACCAAGGCGAUGAUACAUAGCCGACCUGAGAGGGUGAUCGGCCACACUGGGACUGAGACACGGCCCAGACUCCUACGGGAGGCAGCAGUAGGGAAUCUUCGGCAAUGGGGGCAACCCUGACCGAGCAACGCCGCGUGAGUGAAGAAGGUUUUCGGAUCGUAAAACUCUGUUGUUAGAGAAGAACGUUAAGUAGAGUGGAAAAUUACUUAAGUGACGGUAUCUAACCAGAAAGGGACGGCUAACUACGUGCCAGCAGCCGCGGUAAUACGUAGGUCCCAAGCGUUGUCCGGAUUUAUUGGGCGUAAAGCGAGCGCAGGUGGUUUCUUAAGUCUGAUGUAAAAGGCAGUGGCUCAACCAUUGUGUGCAUUGGAAACUGGGAGACUUGAGUGCAGGAGAGGAGAGUGGAAUUCCAUGUGUAGCGGUGAAAUGCGUAGAUAUAUGGAGGAACACCGGAGGCGAAAGCGGCUCUCUGGCCUGUAACUGACA
This 703-nucleotide ribosomal RNA is filed under the name Lactococcus sp. MYb172. RNAcentral's name for it is "bacterial SSU rRNA". It matches the Rfam family "Bacterial small subunit ribosomal RNA", at positions 61 to 745 of the family's 1533-position model. The record is from RNAcentral. Lineage: Bacteria; Bacillati; Bacillota; Bacilli; Lactobacillales; Streptococcaceae.